Molecule: transfer RNA, 75 nt
Filed under: Candidatus Schekmanbacteria bacterium
Lineage: Bacteria; Candidatus Schekmaniibacteriota
Description: tRNA-Pro
Rfam family: tRNA
About the family: Transfer RNA (tRNA) molecules are approximately 80 nucleotides in length.
Source: RNAcentral
CGGGCCAUGGUGUAGCGGCAACAUACACCCUUGGGGUGGGUGUGAUGGCGGGUUCGACUCCCGCUGGCCCGACAA